This 1144-nucleotide ribosomal RNA is filed under the name uncultured fungus. RNAcentral describes it as "eukaryotic LSU rRNA". The stretch from base 511 to 1144 matches the Rfam family "Eukaryotic large subunit ribosomal RNA", at positions 1 to 649 of the family's 3401-position model. Lineage: Eukaryota; Fungi. The record is from RNAcentral.
AAGUCGUAACAAGGUUUCCGUAGGUGAACCUGCGGAAGGAUCAUUAAAGAAUGCCCCGUUUUUUGAAAUGGGUUCUAUUCCCAAACCGUGUAUACAUACCUUUGUUGCUUUGGCAGGCCGCCUUCGGGCGUCGGCUCACGCUGACCGCGCCUGCCAGAGGACCCAAACUCGUUUGUUUAGUGAUGUCUGAGUACUAUAUAAUAGUUAAAACUUUCAACAACGGAUCUCUUGGUUCUGGCAUCGAUGAAGAACGCAGCGAAAUGCGAUAAGUAAUGUGAAUUGCAGAAUUCAGUGAAUCAUCGAAUCUUUGAACGCACAUUGCGCCCCUUGGUAUUCCGAGGGGCAUGCCUGUUCGAGCGUCAUUAUGACCACUCAAGCCUAGCUUGGUAUUGGGGUUCGCGGUCUCGCGGCCCUUAAAAUCAGUGGCGGUGCCAUCUGGCUCUAAGCGUAGUAAUUUAUCUCGCUAUUGGGUCCGGUGGUUGCUUGCCAACAACCCCCAACUUCUAAGGUUGACCUCGGAUCAGGUAGGGAUACCCGCUGAACUUAAGCAUAUCAAUAAGCGGAGGAAAAGAAACCAACAGGGAUUGCCUCAGUAACGGCGAGUGAAGCGGCAACAGCUCAAAUUUGAAAUCUGGCUCUUUCAGGGUCCGAGUUGUAAUUUGUAGAAGAUGCUUUGGGUGUAGCUCCGGUCUAAGUUCCUUGGAACAGGACGUCAUAGAGGGUGAGAAUCCCGUAUGUGACUGGGUGCUUUCGCUCGUGUAAAGCUCUUUCGACGAGUCGAGUUGUUUGGGAAUGCAGCUCAAAAUGGGUGGUAAAUUUCAUCUAAAGCUAAAUAUUGGCCAGAGACCGAUAGCGCACAAGUAGAGUGAUCGAAAGAUGAAAAGCACUUUGGAAAGAGAGUUAAACAGUACGUGAAAUUGUUGAAAGGGAAGCGCUUGCAACCAGACUUGCGCGCUGUUGAUCAUCCGAGCUUCUGCCCGGUGCACUCGACAGCGUUCAGGCCAGCAUCGGUUUUGGUGGGCGGAUAAAGGCCUUGGGAAUGUAGCUUCUUUCGGGGAGUGUUAUAGCCCUCGGUGCAAUGCGCCCUACCGGGACCGAGGACCGCGCUUCGGCUAGGAUGCUGGCGUAAUGGUUGUAAGCGACC